ACGCUGGCGGCGUGCCUAACACAUGCAAGUCGAACGGUAACAGUCCUUCGGGAGCUGACGAGUGGCGCACGGGUGAGUAACGCGUGGAUAUCUGCCUAUUAGUGGGGGACAACUACAGGAAACUGUAGCUAAUACCGCAUAAUCUCUACGGAGGAAAGCAGGGGACCUUUCGGGGCCUUGCGCUGAUAGAUGAGUCCGCGUCAGAUUAGCUAGUUGGUAAGGUAAUGGCUUACCAAGGCGAUGAUCUGUAACUGGUUUGAGAGGAUGAUCAGUCACACUGGAACUGAGACACGGUCCAGACUCCUACGGGAGGCAGCAGUGGGGAAUAUUGCACAAUGGGGGAAACCCUGAUGCAGCGACGCCGCGUGCGGGAAGAAGGCCUUCGGGUUGUAAACCGCUUUCAAUUGGGAAGAAGAGAUGAGAGUUAAUAACUCUCUGAUUUGACGGUACCUUUAGAAGAAGCACCGGCUAAUUUCGUGCCAGCAGCCGCGGUAAUACGAAAGGUGCAAGCGUUGUUCGGAUUUACUGGGCGUAAAGAGAUCGUAGGUGGUUUAUUAAGUCGGAUGUGAAAUCCCGGGGCUCAACCCCGGAACUGCAUUCGAUACUGAUAGGCUAGAGUUUGGGAGGGGUAAGCGGAAUUCCGUGUGUAGCAGUGAAAUGCGUAGAUAUACGGAGGAACACCUGAGGCGAAGGCGGCUUACUGGACCAAUACUGACACUGAGGAUCGAAAGCGUGGGUAGCAAACAGGAUUAGAUACCCUGGUAGUCCACGCCCUAAACGAUGUCAACUAGCCGUUGCGGGUAUCGACCCCUGCAGUGGCGAAGCUAACGCGAUAAGUUGACCGCCUGGGGAGUACGGUCGCAA
This 864-nucleotide ribosomal RNA is filed under the name uncultured Zetaproteobacteria bacterium. Its description in RNAcentral is "bacterial SSU rRNA". It matches the Rfam family "Bacterial small subunit ribosomal RNA", at positions 33 to 891 of the family's 1533-position model. The record is from RNAcentral. Lineage: Bacteria; Pseudomonadati; Pseudomonadota; Candidatius Mariprofundia.